AUGAACGCUGGCGGCGUGGAUAAGGCAUGCAAGUCGGACGAUUUCCUUUUUUGAAGAAGAUGCGAUUACAUCAAGUCAACUGAUAUUUUGGAGAUAGUGGCGAACGAGCUAGUAACACCUUGGUACGUACCCAAAAGUUUGGUAUAGCUCGCCGAAAGGCGGGGUAAUCCCAAAUAAUCCCUCUAAUCUAUCGGAUAGAAGGGUAAAGUCGCAAGACGCUUUUGGAGCGGCCUAGGACCGAUCAGUUAGUUGGUGAGGUAAUGGCUCACCAAGACGAUGACCGGUAGGG
This 289-nucleotide ribosomal RNA is filed under the name uncultured bacterium. Its description in RNAcentral is "partial 16S ribosomal RNA". It matches the Rfam family "Bacterial small subunit ribosomal RNA", at positions 29 to 288 of the family's 1533-position model. The record is from RNAcentral.